RNAcentral lists this ribosomal RNA (253 nucleotides) under uncultured bacterium. RNAcentral describes it as "partial 16S ribosomal RNA". It matches the Rfam family "Bacterial small subunit ribosomal RNA", at positions 524 to 776 of the family's 1533-position model. The record is from RNAcentral.
UACAGAGGUCCCAAGCGUUGUUCGGAUUUACUGGGCGUAAAGGGUGCGUAGGUGGUGAGGUAAGUCUGAUGUGAAAUCUCCGAGCUUAACUCGGAAAUGGCAUUGGAAACUACCUUGCUAGAGGGUUGGAGGGGGGACUGGAAUACUUGGUGUAGCAGUGAAAUGCGUAGAUAUCAAGUGGAACACCAGUGGCGAAGGCGAGUCCCUGGCCAGCUCCUGACACUGAGGCACGAAAGCUAGGGGAGCAAACAGG